RNAcentral lists this long non-coding RNA (7236 nucleotides) under Olea europaea subsp. europaea. Lineage: Eukaryota; Viridiplantae; Streptophyta; Magnoliopsida; Lamiales; Oleaceae. The record is from RNAcentral.
CUGAGUAGCCUCAUUGAAAAAAUUAUUAGUUCUAUAUCUCGCAUACCUUCUUCGUACUUUGUGUCAUUAUACUCCUUGUUCAGCAUCAUAAACCUUAUGAGCUCUUUGUAAUCUUCUAUAUUGUCCUCAAAGUACAUCAAUGAAUGUCCUAAACCAAUAUUGAAAACAUUGCAUCCCACAUCAAUCUCGCAAUAUAGAAGAGAAAAUUGAUCUAAUAAGCAUUGUUGCUAAACUUAUGCUAGAUAACGUCAUUUCAAAAAAAUUAAUUUAAUUUUUGGUACUCAACAUUAGUUUAUUCAUAAAUCACUUGAUGUAUCACGUCAGUGUUACUUAGCACAAGAUAACAUGAAUACUUGGUAAAUCAUCUAACACUAUAUGCGUAUAUCAUCAAAUGCAUCGUUCAUGCAUCAAAAAUCCCUACCUUGCUUGAAUUGGAAGACAACAAACCUUCUUGCUUCACCAUGUAAUUUACAAAUUCCAUAUUGCUCACGUAUUUCAUUCAGAAUGUGAUCUUCAAUUAAAUCAUGACUAAAUUAGAAAUCGUGCCAAGAUAUCAUUACUUGACAAAAAUUGCCACAUUCAUCAACUGUACCUCACCCACCCUACCUCAUUCCCAAGGUGGACCAUUGGUGCCAUUGCAUCCCCAUGUUGGUGCUUCAAGUGCCGUUGGCAGUCUAUGCUACUUUGGGCACAAUAGGCAGCAUACAUUAGCGCCAUGGCACAUCCAUGUUGCUACACUUGGAUACUGUAGGUGUCAACUUUGCUGCCAUAAGGUGUCGUAUCACUCAAAGAAGACAACACAUCAUUUCAACUGUUACAAAGAACCAUGUAAAGCCCCAAAACUUAUGUCCCGACAGUUACUUAAAUAAUUCCUUUAGCUAUUAUAAAAGUUCAUUAACACAUUGCAAUACAAAAAAUUUCAAGAACUUUGUGGAAUAAAAUAUGCUACUUUAUUGUCUCAUAAUAUGUCAAAUAAAUUCAAUCCACUAAUGAAAUCAAUUUUGAAAACAAAAUUCCAAUUUGCAAAAUAAUUUUAAAUUAAAUACUAAAUGUUGACCUCAGCUUUGAAAUUCAAUGAACUUCAUAUUUGUUCAUGUUAGCUGAGUCAUUAGGAUGCAAUCUUUGAAAUUCAAUGAAUCUUCCAUAUAACCUGCUAAUCCUAGGAAGUUACGGGUUUCUCUAACAUUAGUUGGUCGAUAAAAACUGGUGAUUACUUAGACUUUACCUGGGUGAACUUCUAUUCCUUAGGCUGUGAUCACGUGGCCCAAAAAUCCCACUCCAUUGAGCCAAAAUUCGUAAUUUUUGAAUUUGGUAAAGAGCUUCUCCUUCUUCAAUAUUUAGAGAAUAAUUCUUAAGUGUUUUGUAUGCUAAUGCUCACUUUUUGGAACAUAUUAGUAUAUCGUCAAUGAAGACAAUAACAAAGUGAUUCAGAUAGUUGUGAAAAACUCUAUUCAUGAAGAUUGCUGGUGCACUAGUUAAACCAAAUGACAUAAGCAAGAACUCAUCGUGCCUAUGUCGAGUUCUAAAUGCUGUCUUAGAAAUGUCAGUUGCUUUAAUUUUCAAUUGAUGAUAGCCUGACCGUAAAUCAAUUUUCGAGAAGACCUUGACACAUUGUAGCUAGUCAAAUAAAUCUUCAAUUCUAGGGAGGUGAUACUUAUUUUUAAUUGUAAUAAUGCUUAGCUCUCAAGUGAUACUUAUUUUUAAUUGUAAUACGGCUCUUAGCUCUCGAUAAUCGAUGCACAUUCUCAUUGUUUCUUCUUUCUUCUUUAUGAACAAUAUUAGGGCUCUCCAUGGUAAGUUACUGGGUCUAAUAAAACCCUUGUCUAGCAACUCCUACAAUUGUACUUCCAAUUCCUGAAGUUCUACCGAUGCCAUACAAUAAGAAGCCUUAGCACCCAGUACGAGGUUAAUAGUAAACUCAACCUCUUGGUCUAGAGGCAUUCCUAAAAAAUUUUCUAGAAACACAUCUAAGAAAUCUUUGUCUACUCGAACUUCGUUUAUAGUUAGCUCAUUUUGAUUAAUGCUGGUUAAAGAUAUUAAGACCCUUGAACUGAUUUCUCUUUCAACAAUUUUUCAGCCUGUACUACUGGUAUAAGUCGAGAUAGGAGCUUCAUCCUUAAAAAAAUAAACUUCUUCUUCACCAGGUCGUUGAAAAAUUACAUCCUUCUCAAAACAACGAACAACCAGUCCAUUCAAGUAUAACGUCAAAAUCUUUCAUGUUUAGGACCACCAAGUCUUUGUUUAUAAUAUUCCCAUCCAUUUCUAAGUUUAGGUUUCUCGCUAUAAAAUUUGCAUUAAGCAUCUUCUCAAAUGUUAGUAAAAAAACGAAUAUGUUAUCAAGGGCUACACAUUUUAUAUUUAACUUUGAAACGAAUAUCGAAUAAACAAACAAAAAUAUAGCCCCUGAAUCAAUUAAUAUAAAAGCAGGCAUAUCAGAGAUUGAUAUGCUACUUGUCACCACAUUGCAGUCUUGCUUGACCACUUCCUAGGUUAAAGCAAAAUCUCUAGCCUUGUCCACCUUUUGAUCUUCAGCAUUUUUAGGUUGUCCCUUAGUGCAAACUUUAACAAUAUUUCCUGGCUUGCCACAUCUUUAAUAGACACCUUUUUCUUGCCAUUUAUUCUUCGCGAUGAGAUUUUUAACAUUUGGGACAGAGUGAUCGUUGAUUAUUGUCAGUAAUGUAGGCACCCAUUUUUUGUCAUUCUCUUCUCGUUGGGACCUUUUCCAUUCCUCUUGAUAUUGCUAUACCAUUUGCCCUUGUCUAAGAAGCUUGUCUAUUAUUUACUACUUUCACCAAUCUGGUCAUCAUCAAAGGCAUACACUUGAGCCUUCUCCAGAACUCUGAUAAGUACCCAAUUGGAGUAUUGUCGCUACUUUCCUAAUAUCAGUUCUCAGCACAAGCUCAAAACAUCGAGCUUUUCUCUCCUCUAUGUCCACCGGACGUGGGACAAAUCUGGAUAACUCCUUGAACUUUUAUUAAUAAUCAGUGAGUGUCUUGUUUUCUUGUUACAGCACAGAAACUAUGCUUCUUUCUAGUCUCUUAAAGUAGCUGUAAAGUACUUUUGAAGCACUAUCUCUUCGAAUUGUUUCCAAGUAAGAUUACUCUAUUACUCCUUAGUGGGGGAUCUAGUAGUCAUCUCCCACCAAUGACCUACUCAUUUCUCCAUCAUAAAUACCGCACAAUUCUUGUGCUUUAGUGCAUUCCAUAAACAUGAAAAUACGCUCAAGAUGGCGAAGCCAUUCUUUAGCAGCUAGUGGAUCAAUGUUAUUUUCAAACACGAGCGGGUACAUCUUGUGAAACUAUUUUAUAAUCGGAGAUGAUCCAGGCCUAUUUCACGAUUGUUGCAACUCUCACAUAGUAGCUAGUAAUUCUCAUGCUAAGUUAGUUGCCAUCUAAACCUUAAAUUGAAAUCCCAAAAAUAGCUAAUCAAGAGGGGGUGAAUUGAAUUUUAAAACUUUUUCGAAGAUUAAUCCAAAUUUAAGCAAGUUAAGAAUAAAUGAGUCAAUCAAACAAAAAUAUACAAGUACGAAAGCAAUAAGUAAAAGGAAAGAAAGUAUGCAAAUGAUGUAAUUGUGGAGAUUCAAUCCCAAUCAAUGAUCUACAUUUUUCGUUAUCAAGUUUUCAGCCAUAAGCAAGAUUUUUUACUAAAUCUGAUUGACUUAUGAUGUAGUCAAAAUCCUUACAAUACUUUUGACGACUUACAAAUAAAGAGCACCGAUCCUUCUAUAAUAUUUCCGAAACCUCAAUAUGACCCAAAAAUUUAAAGAGAAAUAAUUUCACAAUUUGAAACUUCUCUCUUAAUAAAUGAUAUAAUCCAACUAAGCAUAAAGAGAAAAAUAAGCUAACACUUCAAUAAAUAACAAUGAAUGAAACUCAAGUGUUAGGUGAGAAAAACUUUGAUUAGAAGAAUGAUUUUCAAAGGUUGAUUCAAUAAAAAGUUUUUUUAAAAGUAAAUGAAUUGAUAAAAAUAAACAUGAUCUACAAUAUAAUUUAGCUCAAAAACUAACCAAAAAACUUAUCUGAACAUCCGUAUUGUGAGCCGUGGUGUGUCAGAAUUCAAAAAGGUCAAAAAAAUGACCGUUGAAUGAAUCGAACGUCCAUAUGGCAAAGUCGGAAGUCCGAUUGGGUAGAAACUUCCCUGAAUUUUUCUUUCUUGAUUGUUUUGAAAAAUGUAAGCUUUUGAAGAAAGUUUUUAUUUAGUUUUCAAAAUGAAUGAUAUUGUAAAAAGUUUAAAUAUCAAAUUGAAAUUCUUACCCCUUGAAAAAUAAUUUUUAUGCAAGCGUUUUUAUAAAGUAAAUUUCUCGUGCAUAAAAAAUCAUUCAUUUGAGCUUUUAUUGAUUCAUUACUAAAGAUUAAAUCAUUUUACCUUUACACAUGAAUGCAAAACAUCUAAAUCUAAUAUCUUCGAUGUUCGACUGUUGAAAUUCUUGUCUUCGAGUUAUUUAACGUGAAUGCUCGGCUUCCAUCUCGAUUUUUAUCGAUAAUCUAUUGUGAUUGUUUUAGUAGUAAUCUUUUUAUCUCCAAUUGAUCAACUAUACAACAAUAGCUAUGAAGACUCGAAUUCAAUUGUUGGAGAUAAAAACAAUUUGUUUGUUAUAAUCAAAAUAUGAAAUCAACCAUAGGUCAAUAUAAAUAUAAGGAUCGUAUAUUAGAGGCCAUUCAUGUAAGUUCAACUAACCAAAUAUAGCUAAUAACAAUAAAUUACUUUAGUAUAAAUAGUGUUGUUUCUAUUUAAUAUAUUUUUACUGUUUCCAAUAAAAUUUGGCUAAAUAGGUUUUGCAUCGCUUUUGCAAUAUUGUUUUUCAUCUUAUUGAUUUCAAUUACGAGCAAUUGAAAAGGCUUCCAAGUGAGGAGGGGAGCACAAGUGGACCACUUAAAUCCCAAACCCACCUUAAACAGUUUAGGUCCUUUUAACAGUCUUUCAUUCUUGUGAAUACGCAAAUCAAGGAAACUCAAACAAGGAAUUUCCAAUAAUUUUCUCUCUCUCUCUCUCUCUCCCUCUCUCCUUUUAUUUUUAUUUUUUACUUUGUAGCUGCCAUGUCAGUUAUCAAUUCUAUAACUAUACUAAUCACACUUUUUCAUGUUCAAAUUGUUAAACAUGAACAAUGAAUACAUAUAAAAGAGUCAGUGCAGAGUCAUGAGCAUCACCAAUUUGCUAAUUAGAAGACACUUUUCUGGAAAAUCAAUAUUAAAUUGGAUAUAGCAAAUAAUAUAUAAAAUUUAAGAAGCAUAUUCCUAAGACAAAUAAUCAAAUCUUAAAUAAGUAAAAGAUCAUAUUUUACAAUAUAGUUAGAAACAAUUUGACAGAAAACUAAAUCAUUAAUUCAACUCGUAAAGGCAGUUAACAAACAUAAAUGCAUGAUACCAUAAAUUAUAUUUAUUAUUAUAGAAAGAGAGAAAAGGAGAAGACAGAAUGAAAGUCAAUAAUUUUUUGUUUUUUAUUAAGAAAAAAAGCACUAUAUGUAGUUAAGAAUCAGAAAUACAACGCUAAUAAUUUCUAGGAUUGCUAAGGUAAAAUUGUCAUUCACUAAUAAACUUACCAUUUACAAAACCCCGCUUAAUGAACAUUACAAUAUAUCUGCUUCAUUGAAACCUUGUUUGAUAAAAAUUUAUUGGGACAAAAAAAUCAAACGAAUAAAAAAGAAUACAGUUAUUUUGGAAUGUUAAAAAUAAAUGAUGCAUCAAUUUGUUAGGACUCCACUAAAGGAACAUAAAAAUGAAGAAUUUUAUUGGAUCUAUGAAUGGAAAAAAUAAGUAUGGUAAUAAUUUUUUUUUGAAAAAUUUAAUUGAAACGAACUUUGUAUGAUUUUAAACUAAAAAUUUAGUGCAUAGAGAGAGAGUGAGAGAGGAUAAAUACUGGGAGGAUAAUUACUAGGCAGAAGCAAGUGUUUUCCCGUCAGGAUCAAAAACUGCUGCGACGAUAACAGUGAAUGGUAAUUGCCUGAUAAAUGUAGCAAUGGCUGUGCUUCUACCUUGGAAGGUUUAGAAUAAAAGAUCUCAAGAAAUUACUUGUAUAUUUAGCAAGGAUGUGAAACAUUAAGAUAUUACAAAAUAGUGCAAAAGACAUGACAGAUACCAUGAAAGGAGUUCUUGUCAUGCACCUUUCGCUGCUUCAUGUUUUGAUCGAGAAGAUUCAAGAUGACAUCUUUGAGUGUUUCCUCAUAACCUUCUCAAAGAUCGCUUUGUACUUGGAGAUACCUUCCUCCGAGCUAAUAGUUGUAAUACAUUACUACAAGUGGCAUAUAGCUAAUCUAAUAAAAUGAGAAUACCAGUGAAACAUCUUAAUCCAUACAAAAUAUAGUAGAGAAGAUGAUAACAUAGAACGAAGAAAACAUUUAUUGUCACAUAAAUCAAAAGAUAAGUUCAAACUUUGAAAAACUUGUGCAUAUGAAAUCAAAAAGGUUCACCGAACACCCCCUUUUCCUUCCAAAGAAAAAAAAAGUCCAUAAGAUCUCAAAAACUAAAAAAAAGAACAGCUUACCUAAGAAUGUUCGUAAUGCUACUGUUUCGUUUUACCAUCGAUAUAUUUCACUUUUUCUUGCAAUUUGGUUUCGUUGUCAACAAUUAGCCAAAAAUAUCGACCCAAAAACAAAACAUUCAAAGACAAGUUAGAAUUUCAGAAACUUGCGCAUAAGAGUUGAGAAGUCACCAAAAAUACUCUGUCUUCUUUGAAAUAUAAAAAACACAUAACAUCCUUACACCGAAACGAAAGAAAAUCUUACCUAAGAAAACUCAUAAUAAUACUUAAUUUUGCGUUUCGUCGAUUCAAUUCUUUUGCAGAUUUCACUUCUUCUUGCAAUUUGGUUUCGUUGUCAACACCUAGCCAAAACUACCAACCCAAAAACAGAACAUUCAAAGACAAGACAGAACUUUAGAGACUUGUGCAUAAGAAUCAAGAAGUCACCAAAAAUCCUCCAUCUUCUUCGAAAUAUAUAAAAAAAAUGCAUAACAUACUAACACCGAAAAAGAAGAAAAUCUUACCAAAGAAAGCUGAUAAUAACACUUAAUUUUGCAUUUUGUGGUCGAAUUUAGGAACUUCUUUGAUUGCUAGAGGAAAUUCUUUUGCAGAUUUCCACACCUUCUUGCAGUUUAGUUCGAUGGAGACAAGGAUUUGUUGUCCUCUACGAAUGAUUUUGGAUUUUCGAUAGAGAGCUUAUGGAGUUUUGUCGAGAAAGAGGAUUGUCUUUGAUUUUUGAGAGAGAAAGAGUUAGGGUUUGCACAAAUGGGGGUACUUUUU